RNAcentral lists this ribosomal RNA (198 nucleotides) under uncultured bacterium. RNAcentral's name for it is "partial 16S ribosomal RNA". It matches the Rfam family "Bacterial small subunit ribosomal RNA", at positions 328 to 539 of the family's 1533-position model. The record is from RNAcentral.
ACGCUCGACACCUACGGGGGCAGCAGUGGGGAAUAUUGCACAAUGGGGGAAACCCGUGAUGCAGCGACGCCGCGUGAAGGAAGAAGUAUCUCGGUAUGUAAACUUCUAUCAGCAGGGAAGAAAAUGACGGUACCUGACUAAGAAGCCCCGGCUAACUACGUGCCAACAGCCGCGGUAAUCUGAGCGGGCUGGCAAGGC